This is a small nuclear RNA of Mesoplodon densirostris (Blainville's beaked whale), 107 nucleotides long. NCBI's taxonomy places the organism in Eukaryota, Metazoa, Chordata, Mammalia, Artiodactyla, Ziphiidae. The record is from RefSeq and is a predicted model, not a curated record.
GUGCUUGCUUCGGCAGCACGUAUACUAAAAUUGGAAUGUUACAGAGAAGAUUAGCAUGGCCCCUGAACAAGGAUGAUACGCAAAUUCGUGAAGCAUUCCAUACUUUU